UUCAAUUUAUUUUAUGUUUAUUUGUAUGAAAAUAAGAGCUAGAAUAACAACAGGAACGUAAUAAGAAAGGCGGUAUAUCUGCAUCACAUUGUUGAGAGCUGAUUAUGCAUUAUGUGAAGUGUACCUAAAUACAGCACUCUGCUUCCUUGUCUCUGAAGAUGGAAGACACUACAGAGUGACAACAUGUCCUCAGCCCUUCCCUGUUUUAAAAAAGGGAACAGCUGUUGACAACUGAUCUAAUUCUAGCCAUGUGUGAGUUUGUGAGGCUACAGUACUGAGAUGAGAACAUAGUCUAUUCUAGAACACAGAGGCUAUGCCACUCCAAACCAGCAGUCCAUUCUAGAGCACAGAGGCUAUGACAUUCCAAACCAACAGUCCAUUCAAGAACACAAACCAACAGUACAUUCGAGAACACAGAGGCUAUGACAUUCCAAACCAACAGUCCAUUCUAGAACACAGAGGCUAUGCCAUUCCAAACCAGCAGUCCAUUCUAGAGCACAGAGGCUAUGCCAUUCCAAACCAGCAGUCCAUUCUAGAGCACAGAGGCUAUGACAUUCCAAACCAACAGUCCAUUCAAGAACACAAACCAACAGUACAUUCGAGAACACAGAGGCUAUGACAUUCCAAACCAACAGUCCAUUCUAGAACACAGAGGCUAUGCCAUUCCAAACCAGCAGUCCAUUCUAGAGCACAGAGGCUAUGCCAUUCCAAACCAGCAGUCCAUUCUAGAGCACAGAGGCUAUGACAUUCCAAACCAACAGUCCAUUCUAGAACACAAACCAACAGUCCAUUCUAGAACACAGAGGCUAUGAAAUUCCAAACCAACAGGCUAGUCUAGAACACAGAGGCUAUGACAUUCCAAACCAACAGUCCAUUCUAGAACACAGAGGCUAUGACACUACAAACCAACAGUCCAUUCUAGAACACAAACCAACAGUCCAUUCUAGAACACAGAGGCUAUGACAAUCCAAACCAACAGUCUAUUCUAGAACACAGAGGCUAUGACACUCCAAACCAACAGUCCAUUCUAGAACACAAACCAACAGUCCAUUUGAGAACACAGAGGCUAUGACACUCUAAACCAACAGUCCAUUCUAGAACACAGAGGCUAUGACACUCCAAACCAACAGUCCAUUCUAGAACACAGAGGCUAUGACAUCCACCAAGCCAACAGUCCAUUCUAGAACACAGAGGCUAUGACACUCCAAACCAGCAGUCCAUUCUAGAGCACAGAGGCUAUGACAUUCCAAACCAACAGUCCAUUCUAGAACACAGAGGCUAUGAAAUUCCAAACCAACAGUCCAUUCUAGAACACAGAGGCUAUGACAUUCCAAACCAACAGGCUAGUCUAGAACACAGAGGCUAUGACAUUCCAAACCAACAGUCCAUUCUAGAACACAGAGGCUAUGACACUACAAACCAACAGUCCAUUCUAGAACACAAACCAACAGUCCAUUCUAGAACACAGAGGCUAUGACAUUCCAAACCAACAGUCUAUUCUAGAACACAGAGGCUAUGAAACUCCAAACCAACAGUCCAUUCUAGAACACAAACCAACAGUCCAUUCUAGAACACAGAGGCUAUGACAUUCCAAACCAACAGUCUAUUCUAGAACACAGAGGCUAUGACACUCCAAACCAACAGUCCAUUCUAGAACACAGAGGCUAUGACAUUCCAAACCAACAGUCCAUUCUAGAACACAGAGGCUAUGAUAUCCACCAAGCCAACAGUCCAUUCUAGAACACAGAGGCUAUGACACUACAAACCAACAGUCAGUUCUAGAACACAAACCAGCAGUCCAUUCUAGAGCACAGGGGCUAUGCCAUUCCAAACCAACAGUCUAUUCUAGAACACAGAGGCUACGACACUCCAAACCAACAGUCCAUUCUAGAACACAAACCAACAGUCCAUUCUAGAACACAGAGGCUAUGACAUUCCAAACCAACAGUCCAUUCAAGAACACAAUCCAACAGUCCAUUCGAGAACACAGAGGCUAUGACAUUCCAAACCAGCAGUCCAUUCUAGAGCACAGGGGCUAUGCCAUUCCAAACCAUCAGUCCAUUCUAGAGCACAGAGGCUAUGACAUUCCAAACCAACAGUCCAUUCAAGAACACAAAACAACAGUCCAUUCGAGAACACAGAGGCUAUGACAUUCCAAACCAACAGUCCAUUCAAGAACACAAUCCAACAGUCCAUUCGAGAACACAGAGGCUGUGACAUUCCAAACCAACAGUCCAUUCUAGAACACAGAGGCUAUGACAUCCACCAAGCCAACAGUCCAUUCUAGAACACAAACCAACAGUCCAUUCGAGAACACAGAGGCUAUGACACUCCAAACCAACAGUCCAUUCUAAAACAGAGGCUAUGAUAUUCCAAACCAACAGUCCAUUCAAGAACACAAACCAACAGUCCAUUCGAGAACACAGAGGCUAUGACAUUCCAAACCAACAGUCCAUUCAAGAACACAAUCCAACAGUCCAUUCGAGAACACAGAGGCUGUGACAUUCCAAACCAGCAGUCCAUUCUAGAGCACAGAGGCUAUGACAUUCCAAACCAACACAGAGCACAGAGGCUAUGACAUUCCAAACCAACAUCAAGAACACAAACCAACAGUCCAUUCGAGAACACAGAGGCUAUGACAUUCCAAACCAACAGUCUAUUCUAGAACACAGAGGCUAUGACAUCCUCCAAGCCAACAGUCCAUUCUAGAACACAGAGGCUAUGACACUCCAAACCAACAGUCCAUUCUAGAACACAGAGGCUAUGACACUACAAACCAACAGUCCAUUCUAGAACACAAACCAACAGUCCAUUCUAGAACACAGAGGCUAUGACAUUCCAAACCAACAGUCUAUUCUAGAACACAGAGGCUAUGACACUCCAAACCAACAGUCCAUUCUAGAACACAAACCAACAGUCCAUUCUAGAACACAGAGGCUAUGACAUUCCAAACCAACAGUCCAUUCUAGAACACAAACCAACAGUCCAUUCUAGAACACAGAGGCUAUGACAUUCCAAACCAACAGUCCAUUCAAGAACACAGAGGCUAUGCCAUUCCAAACCAGCAGUCCAUUCUAGAGCACAGAGGCUAUGCCAUUGCAAACCAACAGUCCAUUCAAGAACACAAACCAACAGUCCAUUCUAGAACACAGAGGCUAUGACAUUCCAAACCAACAGUCCAUUCUAGAACACAGAGGCUAUGACACUCCAAACCAACAGUCCAUUCUAGAACACAGAGGCUAUGACACUCCAAACCAACAGUCCAUUCUAGAACACAGAGGCUAUGACACUCCAAACCAACAGUCCAUUCUAGAACACAGAGGCUAUGACACUCCAAACCAACAGUCCAUUCUAAUGAGUAGUAUUGCACAGUACUGUAUGGUAUUGGAUAGUACUGAACAGUACUGUAUGGUAAUGAAUAGUACUGAACAGUACUGUAUGGUAAUGAAUAGUACUGAACAGUACUGUAUGGUAAUGAAUAGUACUGAACAG
This is a long non-coding RNA of Oncorhynchus tshawytscha (Chinook salmon), 3492 nucleotides long. The record is from Ensembl. Lineage: Eukaryota; Metazoa; Chordata; Actinopteri; Salmoniformes; Salmonidae.